UACGUAGGGGGCGAGCGUUAUCCGGAUUUACUGGGUGUAAAGGGAGCGUAGACGGUUCUGCAAGUCUGAAGUGAAAGCCCGUGGCUUAACCGCGGAACGGCUUUGGAAACUGUGGAACUGGAGUGCUGGAGAGGCAAGCGGAAUUCCUAGUGUAGCGGUGAAAUGCGUAGAUAUUAGGGGGAACACCAGUGGCGAAGGCGGCUUGCUGGACAGUAACUGACGUUGAGGCUCGAAAGCGUGGGGAGCAAACAGG
This 253-nucleotide ribosomal RNA is filed under the name uncultured bacterium. Its description in RNAcentral is "partial 16S ribosomal RNA". It matches the Rfam family "Bacterial small subunit ribosomal RNA", at positions 524 to 776 of the family's 1533-position model. The record is from RNAcentral.